UUUGCCCACAUCUAUGGCAGGCAUCGUCAGAGAUUGUGAGGUAUCUUGUACAUUGCUUUUACUGGUGUGAUAAAUGGAGUGAGGGUGAAUACAUUCUAUAUAUUGUUAAUCAACUCAUAUGUGCAAUUUUAUUUUGCCAGAGAUGAUAUAAAAUAAGUAAUGCCUCGCCAUUUUUUUCAACAGGUUAAAAAAUGUUUACUCAGAAUGUAUGUUUUACUUUAAUUACACUUGGGAUAAUGCUUAAGAUUGCAGUACUUCUUGUGUGUGCAUACCUUCAAGUCACUUCUCAAUUUAUUAAUUUCAUAGGGUUUUCUUAGGCACUGGUUUUACCAGUUCCUCCCAAGUACUGAUUUUGCUUAGCUUCCAAGGUCAGACAUAAAUAGAAAUCACUGCCUGCAUCCCCCAUAUGCUUGAGUGAAUUCCAAAGCUCUAUUUUAAAUUCAUUGGUCAUGUUUACCUUUAAUAAACAAUUAAAUUAAUAAAUCAUUAAUCUAACAUUUUCCUGAGCAAUUACAUUUGUUUUGUCCUUGGUUAGAAAAUCGAGGUAAUAGUUGUUGUGACUGCGCCUUCGGGGAUUAUGGUUGAUGGUGAUGGGAUUCGAAGAGGAAGAAAAAACCCUCGUGAUGAGGGUUCACUGGAGGAGUUGCGCAGGAAGCGACUUAGAGAGCUAUAUGGGGGAUCUUUUGAGGAAGAUUCAGAUGGGGAGUUUGGGGAAAUGGAUGCUGAGGAACAGGUGGUGGCUGGGGAAGUGGGCACUGAAUGGGCACAGCCACCGGAGAUGUCUGAGGAUUUGGGGCCUAUGGAUACUACUGAACCUGGGGUUUCUGCAGGAGCUGAUCCCACUUGGGAUGCUUGGAGAAGGGAGGAUGGUUCUUUAAGUGUUCAUGGGGCUAAGUGUGGGCAGGAUGAUUGGGACUCCGAUGAAUUGCUAGGUACUCCGGAUCCACGAACUCUAGCUGUGUGGAGUUCAGACUCUGAGUAGAUUUGGGACACCUGGUGUUUGGGUGUGAGUGUUUGGUCACCCAGGAGGAAGGGGAAUAAAAUGGGAAUGUUUGGCCAUUGCACUUUGCGUGUGGCAAGGUGUUGCUGAGGCGCCAUUGGGAUCUCUGUGUUUCCGUGAAGACUGGACUUGGACUGUGAUUCGGAUCUGCUGAUACCAUCUGGCUUGGCUCUCGCUGUGUCUUAUCGUGGACCUGGUUUGGAUGACUGCACCCUC
This is a long non-coding RNA of Anolis carolinensis (green anole), 1216 nucleotides long. RefSeq lists it as uncharacterized. The record is from RefSeq and is a predicted model, not a curated record. The transcript is spliced from 2 exons. Lineage: Eukaryota; Metazoa; Chordata; Lepidosauria; Squamata; Anolidae.